GGCGAACGCUGGCGGCGUGCUUAACACAUGCAAGUCGAACGGUAAGGCCCUUCGGGGUACACGAGUGGCGAACGGGUGAGUAACACGUGGGUGAUCUACCCUGCACUUCGGGAUAAGCCUGGGAAACUGGGUCUAAUACCGGAUAGGACCCUGGGAUGCAUGUCCUGGGGUGGAAAGCUUUUGCGGUGUGGGAUGGGGCCGCGGCCUAUCAGCUUGUUGGUGGGGUGAUGGCCUACCAAGGCGACGACGGGUAGGCGGCCUGAGAGGGUGACCGGCCACACUGGGACUGAGAUACGGCCCAGACUCCUACGGGAGGCAGCAGUGGGGAAUAUUGCACAAUGGGCGCAAGCCUGAUGCAGCGACGCCGCGUGAGGGAUGACGGCCUUCGGGUUGUAAACCUCUUUCAGCGCCGACGAAGCGCAAGUGACGGUAGGUGCAGAAGAAGGACCGGCCAACUACGUGCCAGCAGCCGCCGUAA
RNAcentral lists this ribosomal RNA (478 nucleotides) under uncultured bacterium. RNAcentral's name for it is "partial 16S ribosomal RNA". It matches the Rfam family "Bacterial small subunit ribosomal RNA", at positions 28 to 523 of the family's 1533-position model. The record is from RNAcentral.